AAACAUAACCUAGAUCGUCAUGUUCUUAUUUUAAGACCUCAUUAUAAUACUAUCAGGAUUCAAUACCAACAUACUCAGGAUUUCUAAUCCAUAUGGCUAGACAUAGAAUAAUCGUGCAUAGUAAUGUAAUCAUAAGAUAGCAAAGGCUGAAGACAUACCUCUAUCCCAAUACCGAAUCCAUGACCAAUCUGUCAUAGGCUAGCCAUAAUAAUGAUCAUAACAAUGAUAAUAACAAUAUCAAUAACAUCAUAAAUAACCGGCUACUUCGGACAACCAAAUACCUAGCCGAGCCUAUGCAUACCCCCACCACCCCAGACUCGGAAGGUUCAAUCAACAUAUAACAACACAAGGCAUAUUCUUCACCCAUAUCUAUGCAACCGUCCCAUACCGGCUAAUAGACAUAGGUGCAUACUGGUGAUAGGUGAUGCACAUGCAGGAAUGAAUGCAAAGUAUACCAUCAAUAUCACAACUCAUAAUAAUUGUCCUCAUCAGGACCAUCAUCAUCAUAAUCAACCUCCGGCCUUGCCGGGAAUCAAUAUCAUCUCAAUAGUAUCCUCCGGACUUAAACCGGGUAUCAAUAUCAUCACAAUAUCCUCCGGCCUUGCUGGAAAUCAUUAUCACUCAAUAGUAUCCUCCGGACUCGAACCGGGUAUCAAUAUCAUCAUAAUAUCCUCUGACCUUGUCGGGAAUCAAUAUCAUCUCAAUAGUAUCCUCCGAACUCAAAUCGGGUAUCAAUAUCAUCAUAAUAUCCUCCGGCCUUGACGGGUAUCAGUAUGUCAUCACAAUAUCCUCCGGCCUUGUUGGGUACCAAUAUAUCAUUAUAACUCUCAACAUAUAAAUAUAGGCAUAUAAUAGGUGCACAGACACAAGCCGAUAUACUCAUAACCGUAAAGAUGUCUAUCUUAUCAAUACAUCCCAACUAUUCAUUAUUAGCUAACCAACACAUAUUAUUAUUAAAUCGCUAGUUCCCUAGUCAUCACAUAACCUCUAGUUAUUAGCCUAAACAUUAUCCUUCACAUAAUCCUUGUUCACGAGAUAAUAACUAACCACUAUUCAUUUAAUAGUCAACAUCUAACAUCUAGUCUAGGUUCAUCGUUAGACCAAAACCGUCAUUUUUCCACCAUUCAUUAUUAUCAACUAUUCGUCCUAUUUUUGUUAAUCAUUACUAGACAACACAUUACUACUUGUCGCCUAACCGUCUUUUAUUAAAUGACAUCAUUCAUUAACUAACUAUCGUUAGCUACUAUGUUCCAACUAAGCAAGAUUCAUUAACUAAUACAUUAGCUUCCUAGCCAUCAAGUGUAAUAUUCAACUAAUAGACAACUAGUGACCACAUAGCUUAACCGUCUAACAAGAAGAACAACCAUAAGAUCACAUUUCAGCUAUAAUCACAUCAUUUAUAAUGGUAAAUAAUCAUGAACGUACCAAACCUAUGCAUGCCAUCACCAGUAUUCAAUCAGUGAAAUAAUAAGCAUCAUACUGCAUCUUCCUCCGUCCCAUACCGGAGAGACGUGUAUACAAACAUAUACAUAUUCAUUCUUCAAAUGAAAAAACCAUAUUCCAAGCAUAGCAUUAUAUCAUAUCUAUGCUACAAAUUUACCCAAACUAGGGAGAAGGCAAUAGGAUUCUACAAGGGUAUUAAGUAAUUCAACCUAUGGGUUAAAACCCCCAUCUAAUCCCCAAACUUAUAUGUAUAAUCAAUACUAAGUCAUUCUAUCCAAUAUCAAUCUUAACAUUCACAUUUACACGCAAUAUAUAUCAUACAUCAUCCAUGAAGAAGAGUAGACAGAAGCCUACCUCAAGGCUAAAUCGCAAAAUCACACUUCAAGCACCACAUGCUCGUCUUCACUUCAAAAUCUCCAAAAUGCCAUCACACUAUCAAAAAUAUAAUCUACUCAUUAAUACGAGUCUAACGAUAUCCAUAUUGCACUAUUAUGCUUUGGGUACCAAAACGACACCAAAAACCCCAAGUGGGUCCCACGUACGGAAAUCGCGUUUCCGAGGUCAACACAAACCAAGGAAUCAUAACCCUCAAUGAAUUGUUGAAAACAAACCAAAUUUAGGGCUAAAUCAAGCCCUAAGCUAAAUUGGGAUUUUGGGUCAAGAACUAAGAAAUUCACCAAUAAAGUGAUAAAUCUUACCUUAAUUCGGAUGAUAAUCAUGAUAAAAGAUGUUUACCAAGCUCCCUAGACACCCACAAGACUCAAUUUCGAGUUAUCAUACCCAUUUAGAGUUUUAGGCUCUCAAAAAUGCUGAAAAAUGCGGCUAUAGGGUGCUUAAAUACCCAUACUAGCUUUGGAGAUAAGCAGUCGCUGUCUGGGCCAUCAACAAAGUCAAAAACUUAUUUUUGACCGUCAACACUCAUUCGAAAAUCAAAAUAUAUGAUCUAAUAGUGAAAUUUGAGUGUAAAUCAUAUUUUAAAUUCAUUGGAAUCAUCAAAACUUUCAUCCGAGAUUAUUUCAAUAAAAAGUGGGUCCCACACCUAUUCAUUCAAAUUUUCAACUUUUCGAUCAAUAGGUUGAAAUGAGCUCGGGUGCAUUGGGACCCGAACCAAAGGUCUACCUAAACUAAAAUCGAUAUUCCAAAUCUGUUGGCGUAGUCAGAAUUUGCAUACGGGAUCGUUUCGCUGAACUUUUCACUCGGUGGCCAUUUGGAACCAGUGAAGACUUCUAAAUAGGGAAUUGACUCUAAAACCCAAACGAACUGCCCGAUAACUGAACCGUCGGUUCCAGCAAGUCAUAAAUGACUUGGGGCAGCUAUAGAGAAGCUCAAAUGGUGAAGAUAAGUAUAAAUAUGGAAAAUGACCUGAAGGGUCAUUACAACAUCCACUACUAAAAGGACUUUUGUCCCCGAAAGUCAACGAAUAGAAAGAAUCUCAAAAGCUCGAACGGAUGAGGUAUUGGGCCCACAUGCUCCAAGCAUGACUUCCCAGGUAACCUCAACGGAGAGAAAACACUUCUAAGAGAUUUUGCCACAACUAUCCCUUUUUCGACAAGCACUCUCAUUCUAUUUCCAAAAUAGCCAACUCAACUUAACCACCAACUGAACUGGAAAGGCUGAUGCACGCACAUCUGAAUCACAUCAUGCUGAUACCAUCUCUAUAUCCAUAUAAAUCAACAAAGGCUCAUCCAAGCCAAAAUCAAACCAACACAUAAGUAAUAAAACCAACUCCAAACCCAAAAAUAAUAUUCCUUAACAAUUUUACACAUGGUCUCAACUCCAAACCAGGUGGAAAAUCACCUAAGUCUCAUCGACUCCAUCUCAUCAUGGAGAAAUCAAAGAACUAAAGCUGAUCCGCUGAAAGUCCAUAAGGAAAACAUGGAAAUAAGCUCAUAAGGCAUUAUCUGGGCAUAUAAAUGGAGAUAAUCAAGGAAUGCAAUCCAUGCCAAUGCUGCAACUAGUACGAAUGAAAAUCAAACUGAAAUUUCAAAAUUCAAGGUAUAACUACUUAUGACUGAAUAUUUUGCUCCAGGAUGAUCCAUGUAUCUAGAAAAAAGGCAUACUAAAUCCAACUCAAGCAUAUUACUCCCACUGAGUAAAUCAUCCAAAAUUCUCAAAGAAAACUGAAGCUUGAGUUCAAAACUGAAAUAACCAAUACGACGCCCAUGGGCUAUCAUCUGAACACUUAUCAACUAUAAUCCAACCGACGUCAAGAAGACCGAAUAGACAACCACAGAGUAGGCUCAACCAGCCUAUGAAUGAAAUCUAAAUAAAGACAAGUUUAAAACAAAAGUUGUACGUAAGCUCUACAACACCAAGAUGAAAUCUCAAUACCAAGGCUAAAUCGCUCGGUCUCAAAUAUCUUAAACAAAAACUAAGAAUGGGUAGGCACUAAUGAUCCAAAUUUAUCAUACUUCCCAAUCGUCAUUCCAAAGCAUAAAGUCAAAACUGAACCAAUAAACCUCUAUCAUUACCAACCCUUCAAAUUGACUUUAGUAUCUAAAUCUAACGUAUCCGAGAUAAAUCAUGCCAAGCCACAAUACAGAAAUCAUGUAAAAGGAUAAAUCGUCGACUGAAAGUGCAAAUAACACAUCCCAUAUUUGCUGGAGGGCAUGAGUUAUCAAAACAUACUCAAAACUUCUCAAGACCUAAAACCACACUAGUGAAGGCAAACACUUUAGCAACUCGGAGAAAUACAAUUUGAGCCGGAACUAACCAAUACAAUACCCUAUCUAGGCAAAGAAAUAGCCAUAAACACAUAUAUCGAGGAAAAUCACUCCACCAAGCCUCACUAGGCCAAACAAAUGCUGAAAUAGGAAUUUCCUGAAUCCACCUAAGAACUACAUCAUUAAAGAAGAAAUACCAAUCUCAAGGCCAAGGUCAAAGUCGAGACAAUCACCAGAGUACUAACAACUCAAGCUAAAGAGUUUCUAAUUUUCCAACUUUAGAAGCGGUCACAGGAAAGGCCACCUGCCUCUAUCUUCCAACUCCUCCAGACAAAACCAUAUCACAACGACAAAAGAGUAUUCAAUCUCUACACUAACAACAAGACAAUCCAUCACAAAGGAACGAACCCAUCAAAUCUAAGAGAAGAAUCCACAACAUCUCAAUAUCAAUGUCAAAACCACUAUCGGGCGAUGAAAUAGUCACAACCAAAGAAUGGACCUCAAACUAAUUAAUCUCACAAAAGGGUUAUAUUGGAAGGGAUAGCCAAAAUACAAUCCUUCACAAACCAGGAGGCAAGUCUAAGAAUCUCAAACUCAAAAUGGGCAACAUAACUAAAUUGUCGAUUAAAAUUCACAAAAAUCAUGGAAGGUCAACUUACCUUCGAUACCACAACACGUGCCCGAACAAAUCUAAUACAGCUAACCAAGAGGGAAUAUAGUCAACCUCACCAGGCUAGGGGAAAGAACUCACCAAAUUAGGCUAUAUCUACUCUAGCCACUGAUUAGUAUCACAAGAAAAUGAAACUCUAACUAGAUAACAUGUCUAUACAGCUAACCAACGAGAAUCAAAUUCAUCAUGUAACAACAUAAAGUAAUAAUAUCAAGUAAUAUCAAUAAUUUCACACAGUGGUAGUAAUAGCAAUAGUAAUAUCAAGAUCAACUUUCUGAACAGGCGAUACCAAAAUGAACAUCAAUAUCAUGUACUACUCAAGGGCCAUAACAAGGCUAAUGUGCUAAUAUAAAUAGGACUCGAACCCCAAACCACACCCAUAGGGAAAAAAUAUCAAUAUAGAUCUACUCCAUCCACUACUAAAAGAAAUAAACCACGAAGUAGUAAUAUAAUCAUGAAUUCAACAAUAAGGCACAUAAUGAUCGAUAUAAAUUCAUCAAGGCAUAUAAUUAUCAAUGGGUAUGAAAACCCCAAUACACAUAAUAAGAGAUAAAUGUGAGAAGUAAAAAUACACCAAUCUUGGCAACAUUUACAGUCACAUGACUAACGGGCAUAGGGAAAAUAAAUUUGAACGGGUCUAAAUCAAAUCGACUGACUAAAUCAUCAACUAAGGCGCCAAACGCUCCAUCUAUAACUGAAGGUGCCACAACAUCACGAGCUGAUCUAAAUGAGCUGAAUAACUGGAAUUCACGUCAGGGAUACUCCCUAGACUAGUAGUCGGUCUCUCUAUAGUCAUAGCAUUUCCUGAAGCAUUAAUAUUGAGAGAACACAAACUAAGCUCAAAUGGAUGGCCAACUAAGGCUGAGAGAAAUCCGCAAAUUUAUGUCUAAACUUCCUAUAUCACAACCUAUUUUAUGAACUCUAGGCUGGCGGGGAAUACAUGCUAACUCUAGUUGAUCACUUAUCUCAUACUAGGGGCAUUCUCUGAACGAGUGUCUCAUUACAACACAACCAAACCAAGAAUCUAAAAUACUUUGAGAUACUACCCCUCAUAAUCCAGAAUGGUCACCAUGGCCCGAAAAAACAUACCACACUCCGACAGUCUGAUGGGGACUCAACCCAAAUCCUUUUUAGCUACCGUUGAAGAUCUUCGAUAUAUAUCUCUGACUCUCUAGUUUGAUACUGUGCUGAAAUUCUGGAAACUCGUAUUGGAGUCUUAUUCGCAUCUGUUGACAAUAUCGCAUCGUCCUUCGGAGAUAAAAUAGAGUCAAAGAAUAUAUGCAAGGUUCAUAAAAAUAUGGACACACGAUAAAGAGUCUUGCAGUGAAUUUCCUAAAAUAUCACUGUAGCCUCCUAAAGAUAGGUUACGAACGUCUCCGCACCGAUCCACAGGACUCUACAAACACUUAGUUCUUGUACUAAUACACUGAAGAAACCUAGGCUUUGAUACCAAUUUGUCACAAUCCAACUUUCUAAGUCAUGAUGCGUCUCCCAUAACCCACCAGUAGGCAAGCCAACCUAUAGCCCGAAACGGCUAGUAACUGACUACUCAAUAACAUAAGGAAAAGAAUACGGAAUAUAUGAGAUAAAGAUCAAUACAUAGACGAAUCUCAAACCUGGUGGUAUCAGUACAAGAGUUUCUAAACAUAACAAGAGUUCAAAAGUGAUAUAUCAAGGAGAAAUACACUAAUUCAACUUACCUCUGAAUACAACUUAGAGGUUAAUCUAGUACAUAGGAGAGAGAUAAGUAAUACUCCGAACGCCAGGAGCUCACUCUAAGUCUCCGAAUCAGGGCUACUCCAUACGAUGCAUAUAUCAACGGCGAUAACUCAUACUAUAAUUUGCAGGCUGUGGAGGUGUAGUAUGAGUACCAAACGAAUGGUACUCAGUAGGCAACUGCCAACUGAGCUCUAAAGAUAAAGUAGAUAUAUACAACAUAUAAACAGAAUGGAAACAAUAACCAAGAGUCCAUAAAUCAUGUAAUAAGUCAAUGAGAAUAACAAGGGACAACUAUCCUAUUCAUGUCUAAGAGUUUAACAUAAUAAGACUAAGGAAGUAUCAAGGUGAACUAUCCUAUUCCAGCUACAUUCAAUAUAUGCCAAAGCUAUACCGUAUAUACUAGGUCAAUAUACAAAUAAAGAGCGAAAGAAAGAUAUAUUAUAAUAUACAAGGCGAAAAGACGACUAUACAAUAUGAACAACGAAGAAAGAGAUAUUCGAUAGUACCAUGACUUCAUAUAGCUAGAUAUAUACGAUAUAUAUAUAAUACAUAUAAACAGAAGGUCAUCUCAAACAUAACCUAGAUCGUCAUGUUCUCAUUUUAAGACCUCAUUAUGAUACUAUCGGGAUUCAAUACCAACAUACUCAGGAUUUCUAAUCCAUAUGGCUAGACAUAGAAUAAUCAUGCAUAGUAAUGUAAUCAUAAGAUAGCAAAGGCCGAAGACAUACCUCAAUCCCAAUACCGGAUCCAUGACCAAUCUGUCAUAGGCUAGCCAUAAUAAUGAUCAUAACAAUAAUAAUAACAAUAUCAAUAACAUCAUAAAUAAUCGGCUACUCCGGACAACCAAAUACCUAGCCGAGCUUAUGUGUACCCCCACCGCCCCAGACUCUGAAGGUUCAAUCAAUAUAUAACAACACAAGGCAUAUUCUUUACCCAUAUCUAUGCAACCGUCCCAUACCAGCUGAUAGACAUAGGUGCAUACUGGUGAUAGGCGAUACAUAUGCAGGAAUAAAUGCAAAGUAUACCAUUAAUAUCACAACUCAUAAUAACUGUCCUCAUCAGGACCAUCAUCAUCAUAAUCAACCUCCGGCCUUGUUGGGAAUCAAUAUCAUCUCAAUAGUAUCCUCCGGACUCAAACCGGGUAUCAAUAUCAUUAUAAUAUCCUUUGACAUUGCCGGGAAUCAAUAUCAUCUCAAUAGUAUCCUCCAGACUCGAACCGAGUAUCAAUAUCAUCAUAAUAUCCUCCGGCCUUAUCGGGAAUCAUUAUCAUCUCAAUAGUAUCCUCCAGACUCGAACCGGGUAUCAAUAUCAUCAUAAUAUCCUUCGACCUUGCCGGGAAUCAAUAUCAUCUCAAUAGUAUCCUCCAGAAUCAAAUCGGGUAUCAAUAUCAUCUUAAUAUCCUCCGGCCUUGCCAGGUAUCAGUAUGUCAUCACAAUAUCCUCUGGCCUUGUCGGGUACCAAUGUAUCAUUAUAACUCUUGACACAUAAAUAUAGGCAUACAAUAGGUGCACAGACACAAGCCAAUAUACUCACAACCGUAAAGAUGUCUAUCUUAUUAAUACAUCCCAACUAUUCAUUAUUAGCUAACCAACACAUAUUAUUAUUAAAUCGUUAGUUCCCUAGUCAUCACAUAACCUCUAGUUAUUAACCUAAACAUUAUCCCUCACAUAAUCCUUGUUCACGGGAUAACAACUAACCACUAUUCAUUUAAUAGUCAACAUCUAACAUCUAGUCUAGGUUCAUCAUUAGACCAAAACUGUCAUUUAUCCACCAUUCAUUAUUAUCAACUAUUCGUCCUAUUUUUAUUAAUCAUUACUAGACAACACAUUACUACUUGUCGCCUAACCAUCUUUUAUUAAAUGACAUCAUUCAUUAACUGAUCAUCGUUAGCUACUAUGUUCCAACUAAGCAAGAUUCAUUAACUAAUACAUCAGUUUUUUAGCCAUCAAGUGUAAUAUUCAGCUAAUAGACAACUAGUGACCACAUAGCUUAACCGUCUAACAAGAAGAACAAACAUAAGAUCACAUUUCAGCUAUAAUCACAUCAUUUAUAAUGGUAAAUAAUCAUGAACGUACCAAACCUAUGCAUGCCAUCACCAGUAUUUAAUCAGUGGAAUAAUAAGAAUCAUACUGCAUCUUCCUCCGUCCCAUACCGAAGAGAUGUGUAUAUAAACAUAUACAUAUUCAUGCUUCAAAUGCUAAAAUCAUAUUCCAAGCAUAGCAUUAUAUCAUAUCUAUGCUACAAAUAUACCCAAACUAGGGAGAAGGCAAUAGGAUUCUACAAGGGUAUUAAGUAAUUCAACCUAGGGGUUAAAACCCCCUUCUAAUCCCUAAACNNNNNNNNNNNNNNNNNNNNNNNNNNNNNNNNNNNNNNNNNNNNNNNNNNNNNNNNACAUGCAAUAUAUAUCAUACAUCAUCCAUGAAGAAGAGUAGACAGAAGCCUACCUCAAGGCUAAAUCGCAAAAUCACACUUCAAGCACCACAUGCUCGUCUUCACUUCAAAAUCUCCAAAAUGCCAUCACACUAUCAAAAAUAUAAUCUAAUCAUCAAUACGAGUCUAACGAUACUCAUAUUGCACUAUUAUGCUUUGGGUCCCAAAACGACACCAAAAACCCCCAAGUGGGUCCCACGUAUGAAAAUCGCGUUUCCGAGGUCAACACAAACCAAGGAAUCAUAACCCUCAAUGAAUUGUUGAAAACAAACCAAAUUUAGGGCUAAAUCAAGCCCUAAGCUAAAUUGGGAUUUUGGGUCAAGAACUAAGAAAUUC
RNAcentral lists this long non-coding RNA (9261 nucleotides) under Capsicum annuum. Its description in RNAcentral is "long non-coding RNA (CANN_LNC012930)". Lineage: Eukaryota; Viridiplantae; Streptophyta; Magnoliopsida; Solanales; Solanaceae. The record is from RNAcentral.